Molecule: ribosomal RNA, 500 nt
Filed under: Dialister invisus
Lineage: Bacteria; Bacillati; Bacillota; Negativicutes; Veillonellales; Veillonellaceae
Description: bacterial SSU rRNA
Rfam family: Bacterial small subunit ribosomal RNA
Source: RNAcentral
GACGAACGCGGCGGCGUGCUUAACACAUGCAAGUCGAACGAAAAGAGGGAAAGAGCUUGCUCUUUCCGGAAUUGAGUGGCAAACGGGUGAGUAACACGUAAACAACCUGCCUUCAGGAUGGGGACAACAGACGGAAACGACUGCUAAUACCGAAUAAGUUCCAAGAGCCGCAUGGCCCAUGGAAGAAAAGGUGGCCUCUACCUGUAAGCUAUCGCCUGAAGAGGGGUUUGCGUCUGAUUAGCUGGUUGGAGGGGUAACGGCCCACCAAGGCGACGAUCAGUAGCCGGUCUGAGAGGAUGAACGGCCACACUGGAACUGAGACACGGUCCAGACUCCUACGGGAGGCAGCAGUGGGGAAUCUUCCGCAAUGGGCGAAAGCCUGACGGAGCAACGCCGCGUGAGUGAUGACGGCCUUCGGGUUGUAAAACUCUGUGAUCCGGGACGAAAAGGCAGAGUGCGAAGAACAAACUGCAUUGACGGUACCGGAAAAGCAAGCCACG